UACGUAGGGGGCAAGCGUUAUCCGGAUUUACUGGGUGUAAAGGGAGCGUAGACGGUUGUGCAAGUCAGAUGUGAAAGUCCAGGGCUCAACCCUGGGACUGCAUUUGAAACUGUGCAACUAGAGUGUCGGAGAGGUAAGUGGAAUUCCUAGUGUAGCGGUGAAAUGCGUAGAUAUUAGGAGGAACACCAGUGGCGAAGGCGACUUACUGGACGAUAACUGACGUUGAGGCUCGAAAGCGUGGGGAGCAAACAGG
RNAcentral lists this ribosomal RNA (253 nucleotides) under uncultured bacterium. Its description in RNAcentral is "partial 16S ribosomal RNA". It matches the Rfam family "Bacterial small subunit ribosomal RNA", at positions 524 to 776 of the family's 1533-position model. The record is from RNAcentral. RNAcentral also lists the same sequence under 1 other name.